RNAcentral lists this ribosomal RNA (515 nucleotides) under uncultured bacterium. RNAcentral describes it as "partial 16S ribosomal RNA". It matches the Rfam family "Bacterial small subunit ribosomal RNA", at positions 28 to 523 of the family's 1533-position model. The record is from RNAcentral.
GAUGAACGCUGGCGGCGUGCCUAAUACAUGCAAGUCGAGCGAAUGGAUUAAGAGCUUGCUCUUAUGAAGUUAGCGGCGGACGGGUGAGUAACACGUGGGUAACCUGCCCAUAAGACUGGGAUAACUCCGGGAAACCGGGGCUAAUACCGGAUAAUAUUUUGAACUGCAUGGUUCAAAAUUGAAAGGCGGCUUCGGCUGUCACUUAUGGAUGGACCCGCGUCGCAUUAGCUAGUUGGUGAGGUAACGGCUCACCAAGGCAACGAUGCGUAGCCGACCUGAGAGGGUGAUCGGCCACACGGGGACAGAGACACGGCCCAGACUCCUACGGGAGGCAGCAGUAGGGAAUCUUCCGCAAUGGACGAAAGUCUGACGGAGCAACGCCGCGUGAGUGAUGAAGGCUUUCGGGUCGUAAAACUCUGUUGUUAGGGAAGGACAAGUGCUAGUUGAAUAAGCUGGCACCUUGACGGUACCUAACCAGAAAGCCACGGCUAACUACGUGCCAGCCGCCGCAGUAA